This is a non-coding RNA of Danio rerio (zebrafish), 1412 nucleotides long. Lineage: Eukaryota; Metazoa; Chordata; Actinopteri; Cypriniformes; Danionidae. The record is from RefSeq and is a predicted model, not a curated record.
UUUUGAAUCUUAUCUUUGUCUGAAUAGCCUGCCUUUUCCGAAUUGCAUUAGCUCAACCGCCCUAGCCACUCAUUGGCUGAUCUUAACUAGCCCCUCCCCUAAAGGAUCAUCCACUACAUGUAAUUGGCUGUUCUUAAUUAGCCCCUCCCUCUAAUCAGUAACCCCUCCCUUGGGUGAUUCUGGAAUAUUUUAGAAGAAUGAGAGCUAAAAGUUCACUCCUCAUCUUGAUGGAGAUCGUCUGAAAAGCUCUCUGGAUCUUAACUCCACCCUAAUUCUCCUGGGGAUCGAACCCAUGACCUUCCUAUCUUGGUAUGGCUCUUUACAGACCACUGUGCUACCAUUUGCUACAGACUUUCUGGUAAUUUUAUCUUUUUUUUUUUCAGGUAAAUCCAGAAGAACUCUAAUUUCAUCUUCAGUGGGACUCGAACCUGAAGCUUUUGGAUUGUGGGCUGACUCACAGACCACUGAGCCACCAAGACUACAGUACACGCAUAUGGUUUUGUUAAUUGUGUCUGUUUUAUUCCAGGUUAAACGUCAUCUAAAGAAGGAAUCAAACUCUGCAACUCUGUCCAUGAGCUGAUGAUCAGACCACUGCGCCACUGAUGUGCUCACACUAGCUAUUAAUGCCUAGUAUUUGAAUAACCCCCGCCGCUGCGCUGCGCUGCUCGCUCUCCGCCACUAGAUGGCAGUAUUACACCACAGAUCACCGCUUCUCCUCAGCAUUAAACGGUCAAACCUCAUCUGAAGGAGAAAUCAAAGAUCACAGGCUGAUGUGCUCACACUUUCUGCUGUUUUGGGUCAUCCUGCCUUUUCUAUUCCAGGUAAACAUCAUGUAAAGGAGGAAGCAAAGCUGUGAAUUCCCCAAUCAUGAGCUGCUGUUCACAGCACUGAGCUGCUGAUGCUCUCUUGCAUCAUGUUAAACCUUAUCUGCUUCAUAUCUCAGGCUGAUGUUCAGACCACGGACACACUCAACUGAUUUUUGCUAAUUUUGUCUGUUUAUUCCAGUUAAACCAGUAGAAGGUCAUCUACAGAGAGACUCAAACCUGCAUCUGUCAUAUCAGGGCUCUGCUGUUGUCCACUGAUGCUUGCAGAGCCGUGAGCCGCUGCUUUGGUUUUGGGUAGAGCUUUUACAAAUGUUGCCUGAGCUCAAAACCUGAACCCUCGCUCUCCUCCUGUUCUGUUAAACUCCCAAUUCUCAGAAAGUCUCAUGGGCAGAUGACUCUCCAGAACUCCUCUGUCCGCUUUUGGGUUGGUUUGCAUAUAGUUUUUAAUUAUUCAGAAGAAAUCAGACUGAUUUUCCAUUGGUCGUGAACUGCUGCUCAGUUUCAUUGGUUUGCAUCUACAGCUCAUUUCUCCACAGCUCAUUGUUGUUUAUUAGCCGGUUUAUGAUUUAUUAAAAAUUAGUAAAUCAU